RNAcentral lists this ribosomal RNA (224 nucleotides) under uncultured bacterium. Its description in RNAcentral is "partial 16S ribosomal RNA". It matches the Rfam family "Bacterial small subunit ribosomal RNA", at positions 112 to 334 of the family's 1533-position model. The record is from RNAcentral.
AACACAUGGGUACCUACCCCGAAGUGAGGGAUACCGGCGAGAAAUCGCCGACAAUACCGCAUAGGCUCUUUUUUGCAAAAGAGAGAGCAAAGUCUCUUUCGGGAGGCGCUUUGGGAUGGGCCUGUGGCCGAUUAGCUAGCUGGUGGGGUAAAGGCUCACCAGGGCGACGAUCGGUAGCUGGUCUGAGAGGACGAUCAGCCACACUGGGAUUGAGAACGGCCCAG